This 276-nucleotide long non-coding RNA is filed under the name Setaria viridis. RNAcentral's name for it is "long non-coding RNA (SVIR_LNC004313)". The record is from RNAcentral. Lineage: Eukaryota; Viridiplantae; Streptophyta; Magnoliopsida; Poales; Poaceae.
UCAUUUUGUGGCUUGCCUUAGAGAAUGCAUGGUUUAUGUACUUUAUGUGAAUCCAAUUAGAAGGGCUGAAUUAAAAUAUUUAUUUUAUUUUAUAUCUUUCUCGCAUGUCUAAAUCACUUUUUUUUCUAAAAACUACCUUUGAAAAGGGUCGUGUUGCAAAAUGGAGGGUCAAAUCGUAAAUAAGCACAUUGAAAAGAAAAAUCUAGUUAAUACCUGUUAUCUCCCUAUCGUCUAUCCUCCUGUCAUUCCAUCCCUGAGAUCUCUGAAAUCGAUUGG